This 489-nucleotide ribosomal RNA is filed under the name uncultured bacterium. Its description in RNAcentral is "bacterial SSU rRNA". It matches the Rfam family "Bacterial small subunit ribosomal RNA", at positions 8 to 526 of the family's 1533-position model. The record is from RNAcentral.
AGAGUUUGAUCAUGGCUCAGAAUGAACGUUGGCGGCGUGGAUUAGGCAUGCAAGUCGAGCGAGAACCCGCAAGGGGGACAGCGGCAAACGGGGUAGUAAUGCGUUGGAACAAACCCUCAGGUCGGGGAUAGCUACGGGAAACUGUAGGUAAUACCCGAUGACCUCUUGGUAACGAGAGCAAAGGUUUACUGCCUGGGGACUGGCUAACGUGGUAUUAGGUAGUUGGUGGGGUAAUGGCCCACCAAGCCAACGAUGCCUAGGGGGUGUGAGAGCAUGGCCCCCACCACUGGUACUGAGACACUGACCAGACACCUACGGGUGGCUGCAGUCGAGAAUCUUCGGCAAUGGGCGCAAGCCUGACCGAGCGACGCCGCGUGCGGGAUGAAGGCCCUUGGGUUGUAAACCGCUGUCAGGGGGGAUGAAAGCGUAAGCUUGACAGAGCCCCAGAGGAAGCACGGGCUAAGUUCGUGCCAGCCGCCGCGGUAAUAC